GACGAACGCUGGCGGCGUGCUUAACACAUGCAAGUCGAACGAAGUGGCGAACGGGUGAGUAACGCGUAAUCAACCUGCCCUUCAGAGGGGGACAACAGUUGGAAACGACUGCUAAUAUCGCAUACUGAAGGAGGGGAUUGCGUCUGAUUAGCUAGUUGGAGGGGUAACGGGCCACCAAGGCGAUGAUCAGUAGCCGGGCUGGAUGGAGGGACGGGAACAUUGGGACUGGGAAACGGCCCAGACUCCUGCGGGAGGCAGCAAGGGGGAAUCUUCCGCAAUGGACGGAAGUCUGACGGAGCAACGCCGCGUGAGUGAUGACGGGCUUCUGGUUGGAAAGCUCUGUUAAUCGGGACGCGGUACCGGAAUAGAAAGCCACGGCUAACUACGUGCCAGCAGCCGCGGUAAUAC
Molecule: ribosomal RNA, 408 nt
Filed under: uncultured bacterium
Lineage: Bacteria
Description: partial 16S ribosomal RNA
Rfam family: Bacterial small subunit ribosomal RNA
Source: RNAcentral